This 253-nucleotide ribosomal RNA is filed under the name uncultured bacterium. RNAcentral describes it as "partial 16S ribosomal RNA". It matches the Rfam family "Bacterial small subunit ribosomal RNA", at positions 524 to 776 of the family's 1533-position model. The record is from RNAcentral.
UACGGGGGGUGCAAGCGUUAUUCGGAAUUAUUGGGCGUAAAGCGCGUGUAGGCGGCCUCUUAAGUCUGGUGUGAAAGCCCGGGGCUCACCCCCGGAAGGGCACUGGAUACUGGGAGGCUAGAGUACCGGAGAGGAGGGUGGAAUUCCUGGUGUAGCGGUGAAAUGCGUAGAUAUCAGGAGGAACACCGGUGGCGAAGGCGGCCCUCUGGACGGCUACUGACGCUGAGACGCGAAAGCGUGGGGAGCAAACAGG